This 440-nucleotide ribosomal RNA is filed under the name uncultured bacterium. RNAcentral's name for it is "partial 16S ribosomal RNA". It matches the Rfam family "Bacterial small subunit ribosomal RNA", at positions 338 to 795 of the family's 1533-position model. The record is from RNAcentral.
CCUACGGGAGGCUGCAGUGGGGAAUAUUGCUCAAUGGGGGAAACCCUGAUGCAGCAACGCCGCGUGAGGGAAGAAGGAUUUCGGUAUGUAAAGCUCUAUCAGCAGGGGAGAAGAUGACGGUACCUGAGUAAGAAGCCCCGGCUCACUACGUGCCAGCAGCCGCGGACAUACGUAGGGAGCAAGCGUUAUCCGGAUUUAAGGGGUGUAAAGGGAGCGUAGACGGGAGGACAAGUCUGAAGUGAAAGCCCGGGGCUCAACCCCGGGACUGCUUUGGAAACUGCCUGACUGGAGUGCUGGAGAGGCAAGCGGAAUGCGUGGUGUAGCGGUGAAAUGCGUAGAUAUUAGGAAGAACACCAGUGGCGAAGGCGGCUUGCUGGACAGUAACUGACGUUGAGGCUCGAAAGCGUGGGGAGCAAACAGGAUUAGAUACCCGAGUAGUC